GUGCUCACUUUGAUAGCACAUAUACUAAAAUUGGUACAAAAACAGAGGAGAUUAGCAUGGCCCCUGCACAAGGAUGUCACGCAAAUUCAUGAAGUGUUCCAUAUUUUU
Molecule: small nuclear RNA, 108 nt
Organism: Nomascus leucogenys (northern white-cheeked gibbon)
Lineage: Eukaryota; Metazoa; Chordata; Mammalia; Primates; Hylobatidae
Source: Ensembl